GACGAACGCUGGCGGCGUGCUUAACACAUGCAAGUCGAACGCUGAAGCUCAGCUUUUGUUGGGUGGAUGAGUGGCGAACGGGUGAGUAACACGUGAGUAACCUGCCUCCUUCUUUGGGAUAACGCCCGGAAACGGGUGCUAAUACUGGAUAUUCACUGGUCUUCGCAUGGGGGUUGGUGGAAAGGGUUUUUCUGGUGGGGGAUGGGCUCGCGGCCUAUCAGCUUGUUGGUGGGGUGAUGCCUACCAAGGCUUUGACGGGUAGCCGGCCUGAGAGGGUGACCGGUCACAUUGGGACUGAGAUACGGCCCAGACUCCUACGGGAGGCAGCAGUGGGGAAUAUUGCACAAUGGGCGCAAGCCUGAUGCAGCGACGCCGCGUGAGGGAUGGAGGCCUUCGGGUUGUGAACCUCUUUCGCUCAUGGUCAAGCCGCAACAAUGGUUGUGGUGAGGGUAGUGGGUAAAGAAGCGCCGGCUAACUACGUG
This 482-nucleotide ribosomal RNA is filed under the name uncultured bacterium. Its description in RNAcentral is "partial 16S ribosomal RNA". It matches the Rfam family "Bacterial small subunit ribosomal RNA", at positions 28 to 507 of the family's 1533-position model. The record is from RNAcentral.